GAUGAACGCUGGCGGCGUGCCUAACACAUGCAAGUCGAGCGGAGAUAAGAGGCGUACUUGUACAAAUUUUAUCUUAGCGGCGGACGGGUGAGUAACACGUGAGUAACCUGCCCUCAAAUGGGGAAUAACAUCGGGAAAUCGGUGCUAAUACCGCAUAAUGUCCAAGGGUCGCAUGGCCUAUGGACCAAAGGAGAAAUUCGUUUGAGGAUGGACUCGCGUCCGAUUAGAUAGUUGGGGAGGUAACGGCUCACCAAGUCAACGAUCGGUAGCCGAACUGAGAGGGUGAUCGGCCACAUUGGGACUGAGACACGGCCCAGACUCCUACGGGAGGCAGCAGUGGGGAAUAUUGGGCAAUGGGGGAAACCCUGACCCAGCAACGCCGCGUGAAGGAAGAAGGUCUUCGGAUUGUAAACUUCUUUGACGAGGGACGAAACAAAUGACGGUACCUCGAAAACAAGCCACGGCUAACUACGUGCCAGCCGCCGCCGUAA
This 491-nucleotide ribosomal RNA is filed under the name uncultured bacterium. RNAcentral describes it as "partial 16S ribosomal RNA". It matches the Rfam family "Bacterial small subunit ribosomal RNA", at positions 28 to 523 of the family's 1533-position model. The record is from RNAcentral.